RNAcentral lists this transfer RNA (88 nucleotides) under Enterobacteriaceae endosymbiont of Donacia clavipes. RNAcentral's name for it is "tRNA-Ser". It matches the Rfam family "tRNA". From Rfam's summary of the family: Transfer RNA (tRNA) molecules are approximately 80 nucleotides in length. Lineage: Bacteria; Pseudomonadati; Pseudomonadota; Gammaproteobacteria; Enterobacterales; Enterobacteriaceae. The record is from RNAcentral.
GGUGAGAUGGUCGAGUGGUUGAAGGCGCGCCCCUGCUAAGGGUGUAUACAGUUUUACUGUAUCGAGAGUUCAAAUCUCUCUCUCACCG